GGCAGGCUUAACACAUGCAAGUCGAACGAUGAUUUCCCAGCUUGCUGGGAAUGAUUAGUGGCGGACGGGUGAGUAACAUUUAGGAAUCUGCCUAGUAGUGGGGGAUAGCUCGGGGAAACUCGAAUUAAUACCGCAUACGACCUACGGGUGAAAGGGGGCGCAAGCUCUUGCUAUUAGAUGAGCCUAAAUCAGAUUAGCUAGUUGGUGGGGUAAAGGCCUACCAAGGCGACGAUCUGUAACUGGUCUGAGAGGAUGAUCAGUCACACCGGAACUGAGACACGGUCCGGACUCCUACGGGAGGCAGCAGUGGGGAAUAUUGGACAAUGGGGGCAACCCUGAUCCAGCCAUGCCGCGUGUGUGAAGAAGGCCUUUUGGUUGUAAAGCACUUUAAGCAGGGAGGAGAGGCUAAUGGUUAAUACCCAUUAGAUUAGACGUUACCUGCAGAAUAAGCACCGGCUAACUCUGUGCCAGCAGCCGCGGUAAUACAGAGGGUGCGAGCGUUAAUCGGAAUUACUGGGCGUAAAGCGAGUGUAGGUGGCUCAUUAAGUCACAUGUGAAAUCCCCGGGCUUAACCUGGGAACUGCAUGUGAUACUGGUGGUGCUAGAAUAUGUGAGAGG
Molecule: ribosomal RNA, 618 nt
Filed under: uncultured bacterium
Lineage: Bacteria
Description: bacterial SSU rRNA
Rfam family: Bacterial small subunit ribosomal RNA
Source: RNAcentral